GCCUGGGUGGCUCAGUCGGUUGAGCGUCCGACUUCAGCUCAGGUCAUGAUCUCAUAGCCCGUGAGUUCGAGCCCCACGUCGGGCU
This is a non-coding RNA of Felis catus (domestic cat), 85 nucleotides long. The record is from Rfam. NCBI's taxonomy places the organism in Eukaryota, Metazoa, Chordata, Mammalia, Carnivora, Felidae.